Pan troglodytes (chimpanzee) is the source of this 1912-nucleotide long non-coding RNA. RefSeq lists it as uncharacterized. Lineage: Eukaryota; Metazoa; Chordata; Mammalia; Primates; Hominidae. The record is from RefSeq and is a predicted model, not a curated record. The transcript has 4 exons.
AUCUCCAUCCUCCAAGAAGAGGAAGCAUUUUCUUGGCCGGGGAAAGGAGAGCGUCGAGACAAGUCCUGGGCCUCUCUGGGCCCUAUACUGGCAUUUCCCCAGGGAGGACAGUGGAAACAGGCCCUGGGGCUUCUGGACCACAGCUGCCUCUGCUUUGGGGAAUUAGGCACCAGGUGUCCUUUCUCUCUGGGGAAAGCCCUUCUUCAGGCUUAGAGAAAAUAAAACAAAGCAAGUCAGCUGGGAGAGCAGCCUGUGCAAGUGGCAGCUGCCUGGAACCAGGCUCCUUUUCCUCCAGGUUGGCAGCCCCAGCAUCCUUCAGCACCUUCCCAAUAACAAACCGAGAGCGGGAGAGGUGCUGUGGGGCCUCCCCCUGCCUCCAUUACAAGGGACCUGAAAGGAUGGCCAGAAGAGGUGGGGUCCUUUCCUAAGCCCAUAAUCACCAAGCAAGCAUCAGAGUCACCUGGGAGCCUCCUGUGACACAGAUUAGGGAGCCUGUCUCCCUGAAGUACCUGAUCAGUAGGUGGUCUGGGGUGGGGCCCAAGAAUUUGCAUGUUUGCUUUGAUGAUGCUUUGAGACCCACUUUGAUGAAGCUUUGAGACCCAUUUUGCUGAUGAAAUCAAUGGUCUCUGAAACAGCAGAGGCUGCUGCUUGGUUUCCGCUUGCACUUCCUGCCAGCUGUCAGCCUAGGAAAAACGCCAGCUUCCGUUUUGGUAGAAGCAAGGAGGGAAUGAGCCAAGGGUCCUUCCUGCUUCGCUUCCACCUUCUAUUGUACAGAGAAAACUUGGGGCAGGUCCACUUCUUUUCCAUGAAGGUCCCCAAUUGGGCAGUGCCCUGAAAUCACUUCUAACGCUGAUGCUAGGCACGACCUCAGACCUACUGCUCAGACCCUCCAGGGGUAGGGUCCAGGAUUGAAGAGGGAAGCCCUGCUCCACACGUGUUCAUCAGGAAGGACCCACAGACUGCUGCUCCUGGAGGCCUCUCAGGGUUUAUGGAUGUGUGUUUGUUCCAUAAACCCUCAGAGGGUCACCUGGAGACCUGCUAAAAUGCAGGUUCUUGGGCCACAUCCUAGACCUUCUGACCGACCCAGGGAGUGGGGCCCAGGAAGCUGCAUUUGACAGAUAUCCCCGUGUGAUCAUCAUGCACACAGGAGUGACAGAACCAGUGUUCUCCCCGGGCAGAAGGGAAGCUCGUGUGCAGGACACCUCACACCUCCUUUCCUAUUCCCCUGCCAGGCUCUCCCUGCUGACAUUGUUUCGCGGGAGAGCUGUGAAUACUGAAGAUUAGGUUGCUUCUCACCCCAAGCUCCAGAAGUCCAGGCUGAGCCAAACCAAGCUUCAAGUUGUGCCUGGACUUGGAGAACCAGGAAGUGAGGGGACUGACUACUUGAAGAUCACAUGGAGGAGGAGUCUGAUCCAGGCCCAGUCUUGCUCUGUUGCCCAGGCUGGAGUACAGUGGCAUGAUCUCAGCUCACUGCAACCUCUGCCCCCCAGGUUCAAGCAAUUCUCAUGCAUCAGCCUCCCAAGAAGCUGGGACUGACUACAGGCAAGCACCACCACACCCAGCUAAUUUUUGUGUCUAACAGAAUUUCGCCAUGUUGACCAGGAUGGUUUCAAACUCCUGACCUCAAGUGAUCCACCUGCCUCGGCCUCCCAGAGUGCUGGGAUUAUAGGCGUGAGCCACCGCACCUGACCUAAAUCAUUUUUUAUUUUUUUAAGAAUAUCGUGACUUGACCAAAGGCUUGAGUCUUCUUUGCUCCCUCCUGCUAGGUGUGGAAGCAGACAUCCCCUCCAUGGCUGGGCACCGAAGAAAGGCCAUGCAAGGGCAUAAGGAGAAGGGCAGCUGUCUGUAAGCCAGAAAGAGCCUUCACUAGAAACCAAAUCAGCCAGAACCUUCAUCUUGGACUUUCCAGCCU